CUACGGGUGGCUGCAGUGAGGAAUAUUGCGCAAUGGGGGAAACCCUGACGCAGCGACGCCGCGUGGAUGAUGAAGGCCUUAGGGUCGUAAAAUCCUGUCAGGUGGGAAGAAGUGGAUAUAGAUUAAUACUCUAUUUCUUUGACGGUACCACCAAAGGAAGCACCGGCUAACUCCGUGCCAGCAGCCGCGGUAAUACGGAGGGUGCAAACGGUUGUUCGGAAUUACUGGGCGUAAAGCGCGCGUAGGCGGUUUGUUAAGUCAGAUGUGAAAGUCCAUGGCUCAAGAUGGAAGUGCAUUUGAAACUGGCAGACUUGAGUACUGGAGGGGGUGAUGGAAUUCCCGGUGUAGAGGUGAUAUUCGUAGAUAUCGGGAGGAAUACCGGUGGCGAAGGCGAUCACCUGGCCAGAUACUGACGCUGAGGUGCGAAAGCGUGGGGAGCAAACAGGAUUAGAUACCCCCGUAGUC
RNAcentral lists this ribosomal RNA (465 nucleotides) under uncultured bacterium. RNAcentral's name for it is "partial 16S ribosomal RNA". It matches the Rfam family "Bacterial small subunit ribosomal RNA", at positions 339 to 795 of the family's 1533-position model. The record is from RNAcentral.